GCGGGAAUAGCUCAGUUGGUAGAGCGCAACCUUGCCAAGGUUGAGGUCGCGAGUUCGAGCCCCGUUUCCCGCC
RNAcentral lists this transfer RNA (73 nucleotides) under Xanthomonas hortorum pv. pelargonii. RNAcentral describes it as "tRNA-Gly". It matches the Rfam family "tRNA". From Rfam's summary of the family: Transfer RNA (tRNA) molecules are approximately 80 nucleotides in length. Their secondary structure includes four short double-helical elements and three loops (D, anti-codon, and T loops). Further hydrogen bonds mediate the characteristic L-shaped molecular structure. tRNAs have two regions of fundamental functional importance: the anti-codon, which is responsible for specific mRNA codon recognition, and the 3' end, to which the tRNAs corresponding amino acid is attached (by aminoacyl-tRNA synthetases). tRNAs cope with the degeneracy of the genetic code in two manners: having more than one tRNA (with a specific anti-codon) for a particular amino acid; and 'wobble' base-pairing, i.e. permitting non-standard base-pairing at the 3rd anti-codon position. Lineage: Bacteria; Pseudomonadati; Pseudomonadota; Gammaproteobacteria; Lysobacterales; Lysobacteraceae. The record is from RNAcentral.